Molecule: ribosomal RNA, 426 nt
Filed under: uncultured bacterium
Lineage: Bacteria
Description: bacterial SSU rRNA
Rfam family: Bacterial small subunit ribosomal RNA
Source: RNAcentral
AGUAAGGAAUAUUGGUCAAUGGACGCAAGUCUGAACCAGCCAUGCCGCGUGAAGGAUGAAGGUCCUCUGGAUUGUAAACUUCUUUUAUAUGGGACGAAACCCGGGUAUUCCUACCCGAUUGACGGUACCAUAGGAAUAAGCACCGGCUAACUCCGUGCCAGCAGCCGCGGUAAUACGGAGGGUGCAAGCGUUAUCCGGAUUCACUGGGUUUAAAGGGUGCGUAGGAGGGUAGGUAAGUCAGUGGUGAAAUCUCCGGGCUCAACUCGGAAACUGCCGUUGAUACUAUCUAUCUUGAAUACCGUGGAGGUGAGCGGAAUAUGUCAUGUAGCGGUGAAAUGCUUAGAUAUGACAUAGAACACCGAUUGCGAAGGCAGCUCACUACACGAAUAUUGACUCUGAGGCACGAAAGCGUGGGGAUCAAACAGG